This 253-nucleotide ribosomal RNA is filed under the name uncultured bacterium. RNAcentral describes it as "partial 16S ribosomal RNA". It matches the Rfam family "Bacterial small subunit ribosomal RNA", at positions 524 to 776 of the family's 1533-position model. The record is from RNAcentral.
UACGUAGGGGGCAAGCGUUGUCCGGAAUCAUUGGGCGUAAAGAGCGUGUAGGCGGUUCGGUAAGUCGGCUGUGAAAGUCCAGGGCUCAACCCUGGGAUGCCGGUCGAUACUGCCGGACUAGAGUUCGGAAGAGGCGAGUGGAAUUCCCGGUGUAGCGGUGAAAUGCGCAGAUAUCGGGAGGAACACCUAUGGCGAAGGCAGCUCGCUGGGACGUUACUGACGCUGAGACACGAAAGCGUGGGGAGCAAACAGG